AUUGAACGCUGGCGGCAGGCCUAACACAUGCAAGUCGAGCGGAUGAAGGGAGCUUGCUCCUGGAUUCAGCGGCGGACGGGUGAGUAAUGCCUAGGAAUCUGCCUGGUAGUGGGGGAUAACGUCCGGAAACGGGCGCUAAUACCGCAUACGUCCUGAGGGAGAAAGUGGGGGAUCUUCGGACCUCACGCUAUCAGAUGAGCUUAGGUCGGAUUAGCUAGUUGGUGGGGUAAAGGCCUACCAAGGCGACGAUCCGUAACUGGUCUGAGAGGAUGAUCAGUCACACUGGAACUGAGACACGGUCCAGACUCCUACGGGAGGCAGCAGUGUGGAAUAUUGGACAAAGGGCGAAAGCCUGAUCCAGCCAUGCCGCGUGUGUGAAGAAGGUCUUCGGAUUGUAAAGCACUUUAAGUUGGGAGGAAGGGCAGUAAGUUAAUACCUUGCUUUUUUGACGUUACCAACAGAAUAAGCACCGGCUAACUUCGUG
Molecule: ribosomal RNA, 484 nt
Filed under: uncultured bacterium
Lineage: Bacteria
Description: partial 16S ribosomal RNA
Rfam family: Bacterial small subunit ribosomal RNA
Source: RNAcentral